GCUCAGAUUGAACGCUGGCGGCAGGCCUAACACAUGCAAGUCGAACGGUAACAGGAAACAGCUUGCUGUUUCGCUGACGAGUGGCGGACGGGUGAGUAAUGUCUGGGAAACUGCCUGAUGGAGGGGGAUAACUACUGGAAACGGUAGCUAAUACCGCAUAACGUCGCAAGACCAAAGAGGGGGACCUUCGGGCCUCUUGCCAUCGGAUGUGCCCAGAUGGGAUUAGCUAGUAGGUGGGGUAACGGCUCACCUAGGCGACGAUCCCUAGCUGGUCUGAGAGGAUGACCAGCCACACUGGAACUGAGACACGGUCCAGACUCCUACGGGAGGCAGCAGUA
RNAcentral lists this ribosomal RNA (338 nucleotides) under uncultured bacterium. RNAcentral's name for it is "bacterial SSU rRNA". It matches the Rfam family "Bacterial small subunit ribosomal RNA", at positions 22 to 356 of the family's 1533-position model. The record is from RNAcentral.